This 253-nucleotide ribosomal RNA is filed under the name uncultured bacterium. RNAcentral describes it as "partial 16S ribosomal RNA". It matches the Rfam family "Bacterial small subunit ribosomal RNA", at positions 524 to 776 of the family's 1533-position model. The record is from RNAcentral.
UACAGAGGUCUCAAGCGUUGUUCGGAUUCAUUGGGCGUAAAGGGUGCGUAGGUGGCGCGCUAAGUCGGGUGUGAAAUCUCGGAGCUUAACUCCGAAAUUGCAUUCGAUACUGGCGUGCUUGAGGACUGGAGAGGAGACUGGAAUUCAUGGUGUAGCAGUGAAAUGCGUAGAGAUCAUGAGGAAGACCAGUGGCGAAGGCGGGUCUCUGGACAGUGCCUGACACUGAGGCACGAAGGCCAGGGGAGCAAACGGG